AACGAACGCUGGCGGCGUGGAUAAGACAUGCAAGUCGAGCGCGAUACUCACUGUAGCAAUACAGUGGGUGUUGAGCGGCGCAAGGGUGCGUAACACGUGGGUAAUUUGCCGUGAAGUUGGGGAUAACUCGCUGAAAGGCGAGCUAAUACCGAAUGUGGUUAUGGGGAGGCAUCUUCCGAUGACUGAAGCUGGGGAUCGCAAGACCUGGCGCUUCAUGAUAAGCCCGCGGCCUAUCAGCUAGUUGGUGAGGUAACGGCUCACCAAGGCGAAGACGGGUAGCUGGUCUGAGAGGACGACCAGCCACACUGGAACUGAGACACGGUCCAGACACCUACGGGUGGCAGCAGUCGAGAAUUUUUCUCAAUGGGCGCAAGCCUGAAGGAGCGACGCCGCGUGGGGGAUGAAGGGUUUCGAUCCGUAAACCCCUGUCAUUUGCGAACAAUGGCCAUUCAAUAACACUGGGUGGCUUGAUAGUAGCGG
RNAcentral lists this ribosomal RNA (480 nucleotides) under uncultured bacterium. RNAcentral's name for it is "bacterial SSU rRNA". It matches the Rfam family "Bacterial small subunit ribosomal RNA", at positions 29 to 481 of the family's 1533-position model. The record is from RNAcentral.